RNAcentral lists this ribosomal RNA (460 nucleotides) under uncultured Methylomirabilota bacterium. RNAcentral describes it as "bacterial SSU rRNA". It matches the Rfam family "Bacterial small subunit ribosomal RNA", at positions 977 to 1434 of the family's 1533-position model. The record is from RNAcentral. Lineage: Bacteria; Methylomirabilota (SeqCode).
GGGCUUGACAUCCCACGAACCUGCCCGAAAAGGUGGGGUGCCCGCAAGGGAGCGUGGAGACAGGUGGUGCAUGGCUGUCGUCAGCUCGUGUCGUGAGAUGUUGGGUUAAGUCCCGCAACGAGCGCAACCCUCACCCCUAGUUGCCACCGGGUUAAGCCGAGCACUCAAGGGGAACUGCCAGCGUCAAGCUGGAGGAAGGCGGGGAUGACGUCAAGUCAUCAUGCCCCUUACGCCCUGGGCUACACACGUGCUGCAAUGGCCAGUACAAAGGGACGCGAGACUGCGAAGUGGAGCUAAUCCCAAAAAGCUGGUCUAAGUUCAGAUUGCAGUCUGCAACUCGACUGCAUGAAGGAGGAAUCGCUAGUAAUCGCGUAUCAGCCCGGCGCGGUGAAUACGUUCCCGGGCCUUGUACACACCGCCCGUCACACCACGAAAACUGUCUGUACUCGAAGUCGCUGAG